This 305-nucleotide long non-coding RNA is filed under the name Homo sapiens (human). Its description in RNAcentral is "HSALNT0309645". The record is from RNAcentral. Lineage: Eukaryota; Metazoa; Chordata; Mammalia; Primates; Hominidae.
CCAGCGCCUUGCCUUCCACCUGCACUUCAUCCCACGCUACCACUGAUGGUAAUAUGAAGAUGAUAUGAUCAUCAUGAUGCCAGCACGUGCCCUGCUCUAAUCAUGUCCCCAAAGAGAUUAGGACUCAGACACGCACAGAGGAAAGACCAUGUGAGGACACAGGGAGAAGGUGGCAUUUACAAGUCAAGAAGAGAGGUCUCCAAAGAAACCCAACCCUGCCAACACUGUGAUCUAGGACUUCCAGCCUUCAGAACUGAGAGCAAAUAAAUGUGUUGUUUAAGCCCCCAGCCUGCGGUCCUCUGUUA